UGGUGAUUUUAAAAAGCUUGCUGAAGUUUGGUCAAUUUAUAUUAUAUUUAAAUUCUCUAUAGAUGAUGCAUUAAAUGAACAAGGUGCAAACUCCACUGUGCUUUGCCCCUGCUGCUUUCCAGGGCCACCCACCACCAGGGGAGAAGUUUU
This is a long non-coding RNA of Phyllostomus discolor (pale spear-nosed bat), 150 nucleotides long. RefSeq lists it as uncharacterized. The record is from RefSeq and is a predicted model, not a curated record. The transcript is spliced from 4 exons. Lineage: Eukaryota; Metazoa; Chordata; Mammalia; Chiroptera; Phyllostomidae.